Long non-coding RNA from Megachile rotundata (alfalfa leafcutting bee), 167 nucleotides. NCBI's taxonomy places the organism in Eukaryota, Metazoa, Arthropoda, Insecta, Hymenoptera, Megachilidae. The record is from RefSeq and is a predicted model, not a curated record.
CGGAGAAACAUCAAACGCAAUGGAAGUUGUCGAACCAGUGGUCGAAGAGAAAAAACAAAAUGCCGACGAACAGGCAGAUAACAAUGAAAAAGGCGCUGAGCCGAAAACUGUUCAGAAAGAGGAGGCGCAGCCUAUGGGCAGUAUAAAAAAAUUACUGAAACGCCUCA